RNAcentral lists this ribosomal RNA (478 nucleotides) under uncultured bacterium. RNAcentral describes it as "partial 16S ribosomal RNA". It matches the Rfam family "Bacterial small subunit ribosomal RNA", at positions 28 to 507 of the family's 1533-position model. The record is from RNAcentral.
GAUGAACGCUGGCGGCGUGCUUAACACAUGCAAGUCGAACGAGAAAUGUAGACGGAAACCUUCGGGCGGAAGCCUUCAUUUCGAGUGGCGGACGGGUGAGUAACGCGUGGGUAACCUGCCUCAUACAGGGGGAUAACAGUUGGAAACGACUGUUAAUACCGCAUAAGACAACAGAAUCGCAUGAUGCGGGGGUAAAAACUCCGUUGGUAUGAGAUGGACCCGCGUUCGAUUCGCCAGUGGGCGGGGUAACGGCCCACCAAAGCGACGAUCGGUAGCCGAUCUGAGAGAAUGACCGGCCACAUUGGGACUGAGACACGGCGCAAACUCCUACGGGAGGCAGCAGUGGGGAAUAUUGCACAAUGGGGGAAACCCUGAUGCAGCGACGCCGCGUGAGUGAAGAAGUACUUCGGUAUGUAAAGCUCUAUCAGCAGGGAAGAAAAUGACGGUACCUGAGUAAGAAGCCCCGGCUAACUACGUG